GACGAACGCUGGCGGCGUGCUUAACACAUGCAAGUCGAACGGAAAGGCCCUGCUUUUGUGGGGUGCUCGAGUGGCGAACGGGUGAGUAACACGUGAGUAACCUGCCCUUGACUUUGGGAUAACUUCAGGAAACUGGGGCUAAUACCGGAUAGGAGCUCCUGCUGCAUGGUGGGGGUUGGAAAGUUUCGGCGGUUGGGGAUGGACUCGCGGAUUAUCAGCUUGUUGGUGGGGUAGUGGCUUACCAAGGCUUUGACGGGUAGCCGGCCUGAGAGGGUGACCGGCCACAUUGGGAAUGAGAUACGGCCAAGACUCCUACGGGAGGCAGCAGUGGGGAAUAUUGCACAAUGGGCGGAAGCCUGAUGCGACGACGCCGCGUGCGGGAUGACGGCCUUCGGGUUGUAAACCGCUUUCGCCUGUGACGCAGCGUGAGUGACGGUAAUGGGUAAAGAAGCACCGGCUAACUACGUG
This 468-nucleotide ribosomal RNA is filed under the name uncultured bacterium. Its description in RNAcentral is "partial 16S ribosomal RNA". It matches the Rfam family "Bacterial small subunit ribosomal RNA", at positions 28 to 507 of the family's 1533-position model. The record is from RNAcentral.